This is a long non-coding RNA of Leopardus geoffroyi (Geoffroy's cat), 416 nucleotides long. RefSeq lists it as uncharacterized. The record is from RefSeq and is a predicted model, not a curated record. The transcript is spliced from 3 exons. Lineage: Eukaryota; Metazoa; Chordata; Mammalia; Carnivora; Felidae.
UCUGGGUCUGAAAAAAAAAAUGGAGGAAGAGGCUGUUUUCGUGCAUUUCUAAAGGAAGCACAGAGGAACGAGGCACUUUUUGCCGGUUUUCAAAUUCAACCGAAAGAUGCCUGUUUCAUGAGAUUGUGGUGCAGGUCACAAAAUGCUAACUCGGGAGAUCACAGACGACGGUUGGCUGACUUUCCCACCCGCAGACCGAGGGUCCCACCCCGCGCGUGGCCCUCUGGCAUCCCGCCGUUCUAUGAAACAGGUCGAGGUCUUUUCUUCUGACUUUGCGCCUGGGAAAACUCGUGUACCAGAAGGUUUAGUUGCUUUUCCAGAAUGUGUCAAUAGGGAGAGCAGUUGGGGCCUGGAACUGGCUAGACCCUGGCUAAGUGGACCUUGGGGUCUCUACCACUCGCAUCUUUGAGGAGAAG